GGUUGAUCAGAGAGCAUACAUU
This 22-nucleotide microRNA is filed under the name Echinops telfairi (small Madagascar hedgehog). The record is from RNAcentral. Lineage: Eukaryota; Metazoa; Chordata; Mammalia; Afrosoricida; Tenrecidae.